Molecule: unclassified non-coding RNA, 475 nt
Filed under: Phomopsis mali
Lineage: Eukaryota; Fungi; Ascomycota; Sordariomycetes; Diaporthales; Diaporthaceae
Description: sequence contains ITS1, 5.8S rRNA gene, ITS2
Rfam family: 5.8S ribosomal RNA (bases 187-340)
Source: RNAcentral
GGAUCAUUGCUGGAACGCGCCCCAGGCGCACCCAGAAACCCUUUGUGAACUUAUACCUUACUGUUGCCUCGGCGCUAGCUGGUCCUCCGGGGCCCCUCACCCUCGGGUGUUGAGACAGCCCGCCGGCGGCCAACCCAACUCUUGUUUCUACACUGAAACUCUGAGAAUAAAACAUAAAUAAAUCAAAACUUUCAACAACGGAUCUCUUGGUUCUGGCAUCGAUGAAGAACGCAGCGAAAUGCGAUAAGUAAUGUGAAUUGCAGAAUUCAGUGAAUCAUCGAAUCUUUGAACGCACAUUGCGCCCUCUGGUAUUCCGGAGGGCAUGCCUGUUCGAGCGUCAUUUCAACCCUCAAGCCUGGCUUGGUGAUGGGGCACUGCUUCUUACCCAAGAAGCAGGCCCUGAAAUUCAGUGGCGAGCUCGCCAGGACCCCGAGCGCAGUAGUUAAACCCUCGCUCUGGAAGGCCCUGGCGGUGC